CGGCUACCAGAGCAACAACGGCCUCCGCGGCUGCACCGCCGACUUCCCGGAGGAGCGAAGGCGCCCCGCAAAAACACGCCGCAGAGCGGAACCCGGGCCCCGCCGCCCCAGCAGGGGGCAGCAGCGACGCAGACAGGAAGCCCAGGUCCUGGGCGCUGGACACCUCGGCGGCCUCCGCGACCAAUGAGCGCCACACCAACCUCCAGGCGGCGCUCCCACCGCACCUGCCGCCGCCGCCGCCCCGGGGCGAGAACUGCGCCGUCGGCCCUGCCACGCUGACCCGUGGGGCCCCGGCCGCCGCCCCAGGGUGACGAGGAGGAGCAGGACGGGGCCCCAGAGAAGGGCAAGAGCUCAGAGCUCGGGCUCCAGUGCCAGGAAAAGGCCAGGAGCAGAAGAUGGAGAGAUGGAGAAGCAGCAGGUGCGGAGAAGCGGCGCUCCACGGGCUGGGUCAGCAUCCGCUGGCGGAUCUUAGAUGACUUUGAAGAUGAGGAAGCAGGGCAGAAAGAGCGGAAACGAGAAGGUGCAAUGACACAACGGAACCCAAUGCAGAAUCCAGCCCCAGGAC
This 565-nucleotide long non-coding RNA is filed under the name Homo sapiens (human). RNAcentral describes it as "non-protein coding lnc-ACSM6-2:1". The record is from RNAcentral. Lineage: Eukaryota; Metazoa; Chordata; Mammalia; Primates; Hominidae.